AAUAGAAACACAAUAGCAAAACGAAAACAGGGAGGAAGGAAAAAAAAAGAAAGGGAAGGAAAGAAGGAAAAUUUAGGGUUUCAAGGUUCAAAGUUAAUUUGCUAAUGUCGUGCAAGAGUCAUUGUUCGAGAAAGGAAAGGAGAAGGUGGACAAGGUGAUUCGAGAAAAUUUCGGUUAGUAGAAAACCAGUGUUUGGUCCAGCAUCCAGAGCAAUCUCGACCUCAGAGAAAUUUUAGUGAUGUACCUUUCUUUUGAUAACGUGGCAUGUACCUAAGUGAUGUAUAGGUUUAAGUAUAAGAGUUUUGUGCUUGUGGUUGUAGAAUGAUGUUUAAAUUGGUUAUAAGUAUGAAAUGGAACUAAUAUGACAUAUUUGAUACAA
Molecule: long non-coding RNA, 379 nt
Organism: Gossypium raimondii (Peruvian cotton)
Lineage: Eukaryota; Viridiplantae; Streptophyta; Magnoliopsida; Malvales; Malvaceae
Exons: 3
Source: RefSeq, a predicted model, not a curated record